UACAGAGGGGGCAAGCGUUGUUCGGAAUUACUGGGCGUAAAGGGCGCGUAGGCGGCCUGUUAAGUCGGACGUGAAAUCCCUCGGCUCAACCGGGGAACUGCGUCCGAUACUGGCGGGCCUGAAUUCGGGAGAGGGAUGUGGAAUUCCAGGUGUAGCGGUGAAAUGCGUAGAUAUCUGGAGGAACACCGGUGGCGAAGGCGGCAUCCUGGACCGACAUUGACGCUGAGGCGCGAAAGCCAGGGGAGCAAACGGG
Molecule: ribosomal RNA, 253 nt
Filed under: uncultured bacterium
Lineage: Bacteria
Description: partial 16S ribosomal RNA
Rfam family: Bacterial small subunit ribosomal RNA
Source: RNAcentral